AAAAGAAGUUCUGUUUUGCCACAAAGAAAACACAAACAAUUGACCCCACUAGUUAAAGGAUUUCCUAGAAUGACCAGAAAACCUUAACUCAUCACCCCUCACCUAUCCCCUGCAGUGACUCACUAUUACACACAGCUAAAUGCAAGCUCCUAAAUUUGGCAAGUAAGGUCCCUACAUUAGAUGGCCUUUACCCACAAGAGAGGAAGAAAGGAUUCUCCUCUGCCCACAUGCCAGGGAAAAGCCUCCUAUGUGUGCAGACCAGGGUGAGUGAAGGCAAGGCAGCUAACUGUGGAAGCGGGCAACAGUAAGGAAAAAGAACAGAGAGAAAGAAGGAAGGAUGGAGACGAGGAGAAAAGAAGGGAAGAAGGAAGGAGACAGGCAAGCCUGCUGGAGAGAGAAGCAUGGGUACUUGGGUUGGGAGCCAUUAAGAAAACAUCUGGAGGAGCAAAUGUUCACCACAUGGUGAGACAACAUCAAGACAAGUGGGUGAAGACUUGGGAGAAGUUUUGCUUUAAGUUAUGUAGGCCACUCUGGGGUGCCAAGCAAGAAGGCAGCAAAUAUUGUAAUUUUUGUUUUCAGUUAUUUGGGAUUAUUUGUCAUUAUUUUUCAAUUAUUUGGAAUGUGAAAUUAACGCUUCUUAGAAAGUGUCGUCAUGCCAAGACAGGGCCACCCCGGGGCUGGGCUUUCCAGGGGUGCCCUGUGGCUUCAUAUGAUACAGACAUUUGUACUCACCCUCACACACCCCAUGCCAUUUCCACAGCCCUGGCUGGGGUUGGUCCUGCCCGUGGCAACCCUGGGUGCCCCCUCCAGCCUGACUUAGCCUAGACCUUGCCAGCUCCAAAGACUGCCUGAGUGCGGCUCCCUGCCCUGUGCCCUGAGCACUCCAUUCCACAUCUCACGUUGUUUGGCCAAAUGUCUUUUUAAGAAUCCUUUGUAAAAAGCCCAUCUGGGGUCUGUGUCCCCCACCAGACUUGGAGUACCCCAAAGGUAGAUAAUGCUUUAUUCAUCCUCAUUUUCCCAGCAAUGAGCACAGCACAAAAUACCUAACCCACCAUGCAGUCUUUGGGGAGUAAAAAAAAUCACUCCGUUUUUUUAAGGCCUUGAUUUCCUUUCCCUAAAAACAGGGUUCAGGGAGUAGGGCCACCGAGAGAAGCAAAUGAGACAAUGGAUAAGAGGGAAAUCUGGAAACAGAUUCAGGAGAGCCCUGGAGAUCCUAAGCUGUAACAAGUUCAUUAAAGCUUUUUAGUUCUUACUCACUCCCCAAAGUAGAUGCUGUAUCUUCCCAUUAGGGGCUACCAGAACCACCAUGCCCUUCCAGAAAUCUGCAGCCUGUGGGAAAGACUGGAUGGGUCCCUAGAGGCCAGGGCUGACCUAGUCAGGAAGGCUGCAUUCCGGUGGCUGUGCCUCCAUCCAGAGGAUGUGGGAGAAACACUGAGGUUCCCUGAUCAGUCACCAUAGGUCAUGGCAGCUUGGCCCUUGCCAAGAAGUCCAGCACCCUUUCCCACCAAGAUACACUGAGAGCCUGAAAUCUAGUCUUGGUUCUGCAUCUCCAGUCGUGGGGGGCAGGGGCACUCUGAUGAACAAGCCUUCUGGGCCUGGUUACCAAGGGAGAGUCCCAGCUCCUCGGCACUGGGUCAGGGGUAUGAUGACGAUGUGCCCUCAGAUCAGGAAUCUCACUCAUGAGCUCAACCCUGCCCCUCUCCACAGGGACCCAUGGCCAGGAGUAAGGAAGACCAGGAAAGCCACCUCCUAAAAUUACCAGGGGCUGUAUUUAUAGCCCAUCGUACUUUAAGACGCUCUUGCUCACUAUUUCUGGGAGAGGUUUCAGUCUACAAUCAAAGAAGUCUAAAACUUAAAGCUUUCAGAUACCAACAUUAAAGACAAGAAAGAGUGUUAUGCCUGCAAAGAAGCUCCAGUGUCAUCAAGUCUGGCGACUAUAAAGACGUGUUACUGUCAUGGGCCUCUCCGGAUUCAGAUGAAAGCUAUAGACCUCUCUCCACAUCCCCCAAAAAGCAUGCUCAAAAAACAUUUUGCCCACACCCUUGUGGUCCUCAGAUUAAGAACUCCUAAACCAAUCUCACUUUAUAGAUGAGAAGAUUGUAGCUCUGAGAAGUUAAGUGAUUUGCCCAAGAUCUCACAGCCAAUUCAGAGUAGAGCCAGGACUUGAACCCUGGCCUCCCACUUCUCAGUCCCAUGCUCUUUCCACCCCACUGCACUGCCUGUUUCAAAUUCAGAAUCAAAAAUUUUCUUUUUUAAAACAUAGCUCAUUUCUUCCUGAAAUACCAUUUCCUUCAUGUUUUUAAAUAGCCCUGAGAGUCCAUUGUAUGUCUGUCCUAGUAGUGACAGGAUGGGGUCACCCGGGCUAUGUUUCAUGAGCAGUAAUGAACGAGCCUGCUGUUUGCUAGAGAACGAUCAUGAGUGAAGACUUUUCCUAACCUUUCUGUAGAGUUAGCCUUAUCUAAGAACAGAAUCCAAUUGUGAUUGGAAUAAGAAUCCUGAAAAUCUCACUUACAUUUGGCUGGGGGCAGGAGAAACUGCCAACUAGAGAACAGAAGAAAAAGGAAAAAGAAUAUAAGGAUUGCACCAUGUCACUGUGAUAGAGAGAAAAGUUCUCAAUUCGUUUUUCACCUUCCUUCUCCAUUGUCCAAAGGCACAUAACAGAAGAAGAGAUUGCAAGCUAUGGUAGGCUUUACCCACGAGAGGAAGGAAGGAAGGGAUGCUCUCGGCAACCCAGACGCAGACCCAGAACCACAUUUAGGGCAGAUGGAAGAGUUCGUACAGUACUAGCUACAGAGCUUAUUAGAAAAGACUAUGGAUACACAACUUCCAACAUGAGAGGUCAGAUUAAGGCCUUCUCAAAUGCAGGCUGAAAUAUCUCCACACAGUCUUCCAUGCCAUCUUCGAGGCUCUACUUACUGUCAUCUUCACUCAGAUUCCUGUCCAUGGUCCAGACGUCCUGCCAGAGAGAUGUCUGCCCUUCUAGUGUGCUUCGACCAAUGUGCUCUGAUGGAGCCCCUCCCAGAACAGCAGACCCAUUGUUACUCAGUUUGAAUACAACAAAGGGAAACAUCUAUACCAUUCAUCAUAGCAGCUGCUCUACACCCAAUCUACCGGGUUCUGGGAGCUCCUCCUCCACAAGAGCCUUCUACUGGCCAAGCUCUUGUGGAUACUUCUAGUUACUCAUGUCCUCAUGACACCCCUUGAGAGGGGCACUGGUAUUAUGCCCAAUUUUCUGAGCAGGAUGAAAGAUUCAAACCCUCAUCGGUCUGACUCUCCGGACAGAGUGCCUGAUCACUGAGCUACAUUGCCCAGCUGUAGGAGGUAGACUCCUAAGUAUUGUGGGGAGCAUGCAGAGAAAGGUCAUAACCACAAGGAGGCGACCUCCCCGAGGGGGAUAUUAUAUACAAAUACUCAGGCUGGAAAGGGUCUCUGAGGUCUUGACCAUCACCAGCCUCAUCUCCCUGGGGAAGAAACAAGGCUGGGAUUAUGAGGCCACACUGCAAAGCCACACAGCACUUCGUGGGCAGAGCUGGCUCCCAACCCGGCCGCAUGGUUCACUACUGUUGCCACACCAGCCUCACCCACUGUGAAAUAUCUCUGGAUUUGUAAAAGGGCUUUUCCUAAACUUUUCCCAUUGGAGUCUGACAGCCCUUCAACCUCAGUCCUUAGAAGAUCAUCCUCCUCUGCAUGAGUCUAAACACAGAGCUUGUGAGCUGGUCCUCGAGGCUCUACAGGUCCCAGCCCCUCCACUGCACCCUUGGCAAUCACUCCUCUGCAGCUAGGCCUCAGGUUCCCUGGCAAGGGCGAUGAAAGUGCCCUAUGCCUUGACUUCCCCAUCCCAGUAAUGCCCGUGGGAUGUGCCAUGAUAUUGCUCAACAACACCCUGGGAUUGCCUUCACCAGGGGAGCACCAGGACUACUUUGUCAGUGACCUAAAAUUUGGCCUGUCUGGGAUGGCCAUACUACACUGGAGAUGGCUCCCAGCUGCUCCAUAAAGAGCGUGUCUUUAUUCUCUCUGCCGCCUUCACCCUCAUCACUGACUGCCCAUCGCCGACAGCAUGCAAGUGCCAUCUUCCACAGUAUUCACAUUUUCACAAACGCUUCUUAGGUGACUCAGUCCUCACAAAUAGGUUUUCAUGGCUGGUAGGAGCACUGGAUUUCUUAUACUUGAGAGUCAGAUAAGUUUCAUUACUGUGUGUACAUGAGGAAGACCAUCAUCCUGAGGAAGAAAUGUGAUCUUUUGACACCUUUAUACAUGAAGCAAUGAUUUUUAAGUCCUUAUAGAAUUGUCCCCAUGGUAAUAGGAUUAUCGUGUAUUUGUGUGCCUCUCUGUAUGUAUAUUCUACCCUAAACAUUCGUACGAGAAUCCAUUUCUGUGUCUCUUUA
Cebus imitator (Panamanian white-faced capuchin) is the source of this 4385-nucleotide long non-coding RNA. RefSeq lists it as uncharacterized. The record is from RefSeq and is a predicted model, not a curated record. Lineage: Eukaryota; Metazoa; Chordata; Mammalia; Primates; Cebidae. The transcript has 2 exons.